RNAcentral lists this ribosomal RNA (725 nucleotides) under uncultured fungus. Its description in RNAcentral is "SSU rRNA". It matches the Rfam family "Eukaryotic small subunit ribosomal RNA", at positions 419 to 1148 of the family's 1831-position model. The record is from RNAcentral. Lineage: Eukaryota; Fungi.
AGGAAGGCAGCAGGCGCGCAAAUUACCCAAUCCCGACACGGGGAGGUAGUGACAAUAAAUACUGAUACAGGGCUCUUUUGGGUCUUGUAAUCGGAAUGAGUACAAUCUAAAUCCCUUAACGAGGAACAAUUGGAGGGCAAGUCUGGUGCCAGCAGCCGCGGUAAUUCCAGCUCCAAUAGCGUAUAUUAAAGUUGUUGCAGUUAAAAAGCUCGUAGUUGAACCUUGGGUCUGGCUGGCCGGUCCGCCUCACCGCGAGUACUGGUCCGGCUGGACCUUUCCUUCUGGGGAACCCCAUGGCCUUCACUGGCCGUGGCGGGGAACCAGGACUUUUACUGUGAAAAAAUUAGAGUGUUCAAAGCAGGCCUUUGCUCGAAUACAUUAGCAUGGAAUAAUAGAAUAGGACGUGUGGUUCUAUUUUGUUGGUUUCUAGGACCGCCGUAAUGAUUAAUAGGGAUAGUCGGGGGCGUCAGUAUUCAGCUGUCAGAGGUGAAAUUCUUGGAUUUGCUGAAGACUAACUACUGCGAAAGCAUUCGCCAAGGAUGUUUUCAUUAAUCAGGGAACGAAAGUUAGGGGAUCGAAGACGAUCAGAUACCGUCGUAGUCUUAACCAUAAACUAUGCCGACUAGGGAUCGGACGGUGUUUUUAUUAUGACCCGUUCGGCACCUUACGAGAAAUCAAAGUUUUUGGGUUCUGGGGGGAGUAUGGUCGCAAGGCUGAAACUUAAA